AUGGCUGGUGUUCUAACGUUGACCCGGAAUCCGGGUUGCGGACAGGGUCUGGUGGGUAGUUUGACUGGGGCGGUCUCCUCCUAAAGCGUAACGGAGGAGCACGAAGGUUAGCUAAUCACGGUCGGACAUCGUGAGGUUAGUGCAAAGGCAUAAGCUAGCUUGACUGCGAGAGUGACGGCUCGAGCAGGUGCGAAAGCAGGUCUUAGUGAUCCGGUGGUUCUGAAUGGAAGGGCCAUCGCUCAACGGAUAAAAGGUACUCCGGGGAUAACAGGCUGAUACCGCCCAAGAGUUCAUAUCGACGGCGGUGUUUGGCACCUCGAUGUCGGCUCAUCACAUCCUGGGGCUGAAGUAGGUCCCAAGGGUAUGGCUGUUCGCCAUUUAAAGGGGUACGCGAGCUGGGUUUAGAACGUCGUGAGACAGUUCGGUCCCUAUCUGCCGUGGGCGCUGGAGAACUGAGGGGGGCUGCUCCUAGUACGAGAGGACCGGAGUGGACGCAUCACUGGUGUUCGGGUUGUCAUGCCAAUGGCACUGCCCGGUAGCUAAAUGCGGAAGAGAUAAGCGCUGAAAGCAUCUAAGCGCGAAACUUGCCCCGAGAUGAGUUCUCCCUGACCCUUUAAGGGUCCUGAAGGAACGUUGAAGACGACGACGUUGAUAGGCUGGGUGUGUAAGUGCAGCGAUGCAUUGAGCUAACCAGUACUAAUGAUCCGUGAGGCUUAACCUUACAACACCGAAGGUGUUU
Molecule: ribosomal RNA, 739 nt
Filed under: Enterobacter sp. R1(2018)
Lineage: Bacteria; Pseudomonadati; Pseudomonadota; Gammaproteobacteria; Enterobacterales; Enterobacteriaceae
Description: bacterial LSU rRNA
Rfam family: Bacterial large subunit ribosomal RNA
Source: RNAcentral